RNAcentral lists this long non-coding RNA (3953 nucleotides) under Trifolium pratense (red clover). Its description in RNAcentral is "long non-coding RNA (TPRA_LNC002130)". The record is from RNAcentral. Lineage: Eukaryota; Viridiplantae; Streptophyta; Magnoliopsida; Fabales; Fabaceae.
AAGUUUACCGUUGUUUUCCAUUUUCCCAAAUUAUUUAAGGAAAUCAAUCAAUAACCAAUACAAAUUUAUACUAUAAAUUAUAUGAUUAAGCAAAUAAAAAUACAGGUAUUUCGUGUUAUAAGACUUGAACAGAUCUCAAACAUACAUAUUAUUUAAAAUGAGACCAUUAAUCAUACUACAAAACAUCUUAUUUUAUUCCAAAUUUGUUGUUCCUAUAGUCUAACAUUUCAGAGCAAAUUUUUGCAUAUUAAAUUAUAUAUAUCCCAAAUAGAAUCUCACACCUGAAAUAAAAAAUACAACAUCAAUUUCCACAGACAUAAAUAAUAAAAAUCAUUAUCACCCACGUACUGUUAUUAAAAAAAUAGUUUGGAAAAAACAAUUGACAAAGAAACAAAAUUGAGUGGAAAUCUAAUUGAAAAAUGAAAGUCGCUGCUAAAAGAAAAGUAGUACAUAAAAAAUAAAGCACUAAACAAAUACAAAAAGCUACAUGAAGCAAUUGGGAUUUAAAAGAUUAUACUAAGGUGUUGAAAAUACAUGGAUAUCUCUAGUAGUAUAUUUUUAGUAGAGAAAUCUUUCAUUUCUUAAGAAAGGCAUGGACAUCUCUAUUUGUAUAUUUGUUUUUGGGUUAAAUAUAAUUUUGAUCGCUAUAUCUCAGCUUUUAAUUAUGAUUGUUAUAAGCAUCUUGACUUUUAUUUUUAGACCUUAUAAAAAUUUUCAGCAGGUUUUGGUCUCUAAAAUAUUUUUCAUCAUCAUCUUUAUUCCUUGAUUUUAAGUCAAUUCAUAUUUUAUAUUCAAAAUUUUGUAGUUCUUUCCACAGUCAUGAUUAGUACAAUAUGAGUUUCAGAAAUGUGAUACUAGUAUGAUUUUAUGCAUACCUUUUAGUUAUAUUUUAAUUAAUUAAUUAUUUUUUGUACUUAUAGUUUCUACAACUAUUUUACUUGUUUUUAUUUAUUUUCCAAUUUUAGGAUAAAAUCAAAAGAAAUUAAAGAAAAUAGUGAAUCCGCAUUCUAGUAUUGCACGUCUAAGGUUUUGUUUGGUAAAAAUAAGCUAUAAGCUAGCUGAUAGCUGAUAAGCUAACUUAUAGCUGAAAAGCUAGCUUAUAGCUGAUAGCUGAUGGCUGGUAGCUUAUAGCUGAAAAGUUAGUAGAAUAAAAUUAAAGUGUUUGACAAAUUUAGCUGUUGUAAGUACAAAAUGACAUAAAAAUACAUGGUUAGUGGUUAGUGGGUAGUUAUUAUAAUUUUUUUAAAAUAAAUAAAUAAAAGUAAUGAGGGUAAAUAUGGAAUAAAAUAAAAAAAGCUAUAAGCUAUAAGCUCAUACGCUACUUGAAAUAACAUAUCAAAAAACGCUAUAAGCUAGUUAGAGAAGUUUGUUACCAAACACUUCACAUUUUUUUCAAACAAACUUAUAAGCUAGUUCAAUAAGUUAUAAGCUAGCUUAUUGGACUUACUAAACAGUGCCUAAUUCUAACCGUAAAGGAUAACAAUUUUAUCAUAUAUCUUAGUAGUAUCUAGAAUUCUAUAAUUUUCAAGUACACAAAUGGAUGAUGUUAACUUAAGUUAAAAUUAGAUGGAUCAUAAAUAAGGUAAAAAUAAAAACUUAAGUUUUUGUUUUUUUUACAAUAAGUUGAGAAUCGAACACAUAACCUCUAGCUAGCAUAUUAUUCAAACCCCUCAUCAUUAGACUAAAUCUAGCAGCUUAAAACUUAAACUUUUUGCUUUUCCUGAUUUCCUCUCAGAGUUAAUGAUAUAGGGCUUGGUUAUAUUAUAUGAAUUAUAAAUGGCACGAAACAUGAAAAAGAAAAAACUCAAAAAGGAUUGCCUAUAUUAUUUUCUUUCUAAAAUUAACAAACUGAGAAAUGAGAUUAAAUUUUUUUUCUCCAGAAAGUUGGAGAGACUUGGUAUGAAGCUCGUUGGAUAUUGAAGGUAAUAAUGUGUGGAAUGUGUCUCGAACAUGACGAGGGGUUGAUCCUUCAUACUAUUUACAAAGGAUUUCUUUGCACAUCAAAGGAGAUAAUGCAAAAUAUUAAUAAAAUGGAUUAAUGUGGUAAAUAAUGCAAAAUAUUAAUAAAAUGGAUUAAUGUGGUAAAUAGAGAUAUUUUAAGGGACCAAAGAAGAAGAUUUAAUCAUUAAUAGAUUAAUGUGAAACAAAAAAUUCUUUAAGGACCUAAAAAGCUAGUGGGUAUCCAUUUGGGUGAAAUUUUAAUGAAAGUCUGAUUAAGGAAAAUGUUAAUCUUCCUGUGAAUUUAGUUUAGUUGACAUAAACAUUGUAUUAUAUAUAUAGGGGAUUGAGAUUCAAACAUCGAUCUUCCUAUUUAUCCACCUUAUGGGUGAAAUUUUUAGUCACUAAAUUACUUUAGAAAAAAAAAUGUUAAUCACCUUAACCAUUCUCCAAUAAGGAAUCCUUACUCUAAAUCCUAGAGAGGUGAGCAAGAAUGUCUCAAGAACAAAAUGUCUCGAAUAGCCAACCGAAGUCAAAGCCUAGAGAGGUGAGCAAGAAUGGGUUUCUCUAACAUGAACAAGUCCAUCAAGUUGUGCAUAGUUGGGAAAAAUAAAGAAUAGGGAAAUAGAGAAUAAGGGAGAAAUAUUAAAUUUUUAUAAUUUUUACUAAUAGACAAUUAAAAAUAUCAGUGAUCAAAAUUAUAUAUUGUCGUACGUGCAGUGUUCAAACAAUGUCUUAUAAUUAGGGAGAGAGGUAGUAUUUUAUUGUCUUUUAUUUAACAACUUCAUUGUAUUUCUAUUUAUGUUCACCAUAAAUACGUGUAAGCGGUUUUCUUUGUCUUAGAGUUAAGAAAUGUAGUCUAAAGAUACACUUUUCAUAAUUCAAAUUCAUCUUUUGUUGAUAAUUUCAAAACAAAAUUUUGUUCAAUCUUAUUGCAUUUUUUUAUAGUUUGUUAUCAUAGGUUUAUAAUUAGUUAACUUUAAAUACCAAUGAAGGACUAAGGUAAGUUGGUAUUGGCAAAUAGAAUUUUGGUGAUUAAAGGGCUAUGGUGCAUAAGAACUGAUAGGAAAAGGUGUGUCACCAAAAUUAUUAAAGAAAUAUUAGUGUCCUAAAUUUGAUGUAGUUUAAAAAUAUUAAAGAUCCAAGUGAUAAAUCACAUGUGUAUUAUUACAUUAUUUAUUGAGUAUAAUAAAGUAUUCUUAUAAGAAUUUAUGACAUAAUAAGUUUAUCAUUUAAUAAUAUAAGUUUUUUUUGUUGAUAGGCGAAAUGACAACGUCAUUUAAAAUUCACACAUACAAAGUAGAGUGAUCGGGGUUCGAACCCCGGUCCUGACGUCCGACACUAGCAAUUUCGGUAUUCUACCAGUUGAGCUAGGAUUUGUGGACAUAUAGUGUAAGAUAUUUAAUAUUUAGAAAGUUGAAUAUACAAUUUUCUAUAAAUAUUUUCAUAUUUAUCUCCUUAACACAUUUGCUGUUAGUGCAUAAUCAUAUAUUGCAUUGAUGUUUUUGUAUGUAAUAUCUUCUAUGAGAAAAUAAAGGUAAAAAUAAUUUCAAACAAAGUAAAAAUAAUUGCAUAAUAUAGUAAUACACUUUUUAGUUUGUUAUAAAAUUGAAUGAAAGACCACAUAAACAUAAAUCAAAUUUUGAAAUAAAUUAUAGAAGUACAAAUGACCAUCACAAAAAAUUAUAUUCUAAAACUUAUAAACUUAAUUAACUUACACAAAUUCUUAUCAUUGCACUGCCAAACAAAACGUUCAUGUGCUGGUUCUGGACAAUCACUAACAGAUUUACAGGGAAUAUCAGCUGCAUUGUCAUAUAAGAAAAUGAAUUUUGUUAAGAGGUUAUAUAAUACGUGAAUAAGAUAAAUUUGAACAUUGUGUGAAAAAUGACAUACUCUUCUUAUAACCAUAUAUAGAAAGAAAUAUGAUCAAAGCAUAAACAAACAUGGGAAUUUGAGCCAUAUUUUUCUUAUUUUGCAUUUCAUAAAUAAUUUUUUUAACACUCUAUAAAUAAAAA